RNAcentral lists this ribosomal RNA (116 nucleotides) under Staphylococcus argenteus. RNAcentral describes it as "partial 16S ribosomal RNA". It matches the Rfam family "Bacterial small subunit ribosomal RNA", at positions 1 to 111 of the family's 1533-position model. The record is from RNAcentral. Lineage: Bacteria; Bacillati; Bacillota; Bacilli; Caryophanales; Staphylococcaceae.
UUUAUGGAGAGUUUGAUCCUGGCUCAGGAUGAACGCUGGCGGCGUGCCUAAUACAUGCAAGUCGAGCGAACGGACGAGAAGCUUGCUUCUCUGAUGUUAGCGGCGGACGGGGGGGU